This 56-nucleotide transfer RNA is filed under the name Triticum aestivum (bread wheat). It matches the Rfam family "tRNA", at positions 10 to 63 of the family's 71-position model. From Rfam's summary of the family: Transfer RNA (tRNA) molecules are approximately 80 nucleotides in length. Their secondary structure includes four short double-helical elements and three loops (D, anti-codon, and T loops). Lineage: Eukaryota; Viridiplantae; Streptophyta; Magnoliopsida; Poales; Poaceae. The record is from Rfam by way of RNAcentral. RNAcentral also lists the same sequence under 1 other name.
GCUCAGUUGGUAAAGCACAAGGCUUUUACCCUUGUGGACGUGGAUUCAAGCCCCAU